GAGUCCUCGGGCGCAGCAGUGGGGAAUAUUGCACAAUGGGGGAAACCCUGAUGCAGCGACGCCGCGUGGGCGACGAAGCGCUCCGGCGCGUAAAGCCCUGUCAGCAGGGAAGAACAAAGACAGUACCUGACCAAGAAGCCCCGGCUAACUACGUGCCAGCAGCCGCGGUAAUACGUAGGGGGCAAGCGUUAUCCGGAUUCACUGGGCGUAAAGGGAGCGCAGGCGGCACGGCAAGUCUGGUGUGAAAGCCCGGGGCCCAACCCCGGGACUGCAUUGGAAACUGCCGGGCUGGAGUGCCGGAGGGG
RNAcentral lists this ribosomal RNA (305 nucleotides) under uncultured bacterium. RNAcentral describes it as "bacterial SSU rRNA". It matches the Rfam family "Bacterial small subunit ribosomal RNA", at positions 334 to 657 of the family's 1533-position model. The record is from RNAcentral.